RNAcentral lists this ribosomal RNA (1554 nucleotides) under Salmonella enterica subsp. enterica serovar Schwarzengrund. Its description in RNAcentral is "bacterial SSU rRNA". It matches the Rfam family "Bacterial small subunit ribosomal RNA". The record is from RNAcentral. Lineage: Bacteria; Pseudomonadati; Pseudomonadota; Gammaproteobacteria; Enterobacterales; Enterobacteriaceae.
AAAUUGAAGAGUUUGAUCAUGGCUCAGAUUGAACGCUGGCGGCAGGCCUAACACAUGCAAGUCGAACGGUAACAGGAAGCAGCUUGCUGCUUUGCUGACGAGUGGCGGACGGGUGAGUAAUGUCUGGGAAACUGCCUGAUGGAGGGGGAUAACUACUGGAAACGGUGGCUAAUACCGCAUAAUGUCGCAAGACCAAAGAGGGGGACCUUCGGGCCUCUUGCCAUCAGAUGUGCCCAGAUGGGAUUAGCUUGUUGGUGAGGUAACGGCUCACCAAGGCGACGAUCCCUAGCUGGUCUGAGAGGAUGACCAGCCACACUGGAACUGAGACACGGUCCAGACUCCUACGGGAGGCAGCAGUGGGGGAUAUUGCACAAUGGGCGCAAGCCUGAUGCAGCCAUGCCGCGUGUAUGAAGAAGGCCUUCGGGUUGUAAAGUACUUUCAGCGGGGAGGAAGGUGUUGUGGUUAAUAACCGCAGCAAUUGACGUUACCCGCAGAAGAAGCACCGGCUAACUCCGUGCCAGCAGCCGCGGUAAUACGGAGGGUGCAAGCGUUAAUCGGAAUUACUGGGCGUAAAGCGCACGCAGGCGGUCUGUCAAGUCGGAUGUGAAAUCCCCGGGCUCAACCUGGGAACUGCAUUCGAAACUGGCAGGCUUGAGUCUUGUAGAGGGGGGUAGAAUUCCAGGUGUAGCGGUGAAAUGCGUAGAGAUCUGGAGGAAUACCGGUGGCGAAGGCGGCCCCCUGGACAAAGACUGACGCUCAGGUGCGAAAGCGUGGGGAGCAAACAGGAUUAGAUACCCUGGUAGUCCACGCCGUAAACGAUGUCUACUUGGAGGUUGUGCCCUUGAGGCGUGGCUUCCGGAGCUAACGCGUUAAGUAGACCGCCUGGGGAGUACGGCCGCAAGGUUAAAACUCAAAUGAAUUGACGGGGGCCCGCACAAGCGGUGGAGCAUGUGGUUUAAUUCGAUGCAACGCGAAGAACCUUACCUGGUCUUGACAUCCACGGAAGAAUUCAGAGAUGGAUUUGUGCCUUCGGGAACCGUGAGACAGGUGCUGCAUGGCUGUCGUCAGCUCGUGUUGUGAAAUGUUGGGUUAAGUCCCGCAACGAGCGCAACCCUUAUCCUUUGUUGCCAGCGGUCCGGCCGGGAACUCAAAGGAGACUGCCAGUGAUAAACUGGAGGAAGGUGGGGAUGACGUCAAGUCAUCAUGGCCCUUACGACCAGGGCUACACACGUGCUACAAUGGCGCAUACAAAGAGAAGCGACCUCGCGAGAGCAAGCGGACCUCAUAAAGUGCGUCGUAGUCCGGAUUGGAGUCUGCAACUCGACUCCAUGAAGUCGGAAUCGCUAGUAAUCGUGGAUCAGAAUGCCACGGUGAAUACGUUCCCGGGCCUUGUACACACCGCCCGUCACACCAUGGGAGUGGGUUGCAAAAGAAGUAGGUAGCUUAACCUUCGGGAGGGCGCUUACCACUUUGUGAUUCAUGACUGGGGUGAAGUCGUAACAAGGUAACCGUAGGGGAACCUGCGGUUGGAUCACCUCCUUACCUUAAAGAAGC